Molecule: RNA transcript, 5199 nt
Organism: Pan troglodytes (chimpanzee)
Lineage: Eukaryota; Metazoa; Chordata; Mammalia; Primates; Hominidae
Gene: SFI1
Gene name: SFI1 centrin binding protein
Exons: 33
Source: RefSeq, a predicted model, not a curated record
AGAGGCGCGCGAAGCGCUGAGGCGGGCGUGGACCGCGCCGGAGUUACGAAGCAGGUCCCAGACCGCCCUAUACCGCCGGGUUUUCUCCCAACGUCAGGCCCGAUGGCUCGGCUUCCCCAGUUAGAAGGGGAAGAUAAAAGACUUUGAUUCAUGAAGAAUCUGCUUACUGAGAAGUGUAUAUCAAGCCACAAUUUCCAUCAAAAAGUGAUUAAGCAGAGAAUGGAGAAGGUUGAUUCCAGGUAUUUUAAGGAUGGUGCAGUUAAGAAACCUUAUUCUGCAAAGACACUGUCCAACAAGAAGUCUUCUGCAUCCUUUGGGAUCCGGAGGGAGUUACCUAGUACCAGUCAUCUAGUGCAGUAUCGUGGCACACAUACUUGUACCCGACAGGGCCGGUUAAGAGAACUGCGCAUCAGAUGCGUGGCCAGAAAGUUCUUAUAUUUAUGGAUUCGAAUGACUUUUGGAAGAGUAUUUCCCUCUAAAGCCAGAUUUUACUAUGAGCAGCGAUUACUACGGAAGGUCUUCGAAGAAUGGAAAGAAGAGUGGUGGGUUUUCCAGCACGAGUGGAAACUCUGUGUUCGAGCUGACUGUCACUACAGGUAUUACCUGUAUAACCUGAUGUUCCAGACCUGGAAGACCUACGUGCGUCAGCAGCAGGAGAUGAGGAACAAGUACAUUAGAGCCGAGGUUCAUGGUGAGAAAAAGAAGUCCAUGUCUGAAGAAGAUGCCCACAUUUACUUUGCAGAAGGUCAUAGGAAGGACAAACACAUUGUCUCAGAGAGAGAAGAACUCUAGGUCAAAGGAAGAUUUGUUUGAUUCUCUUUCAUAUUUUUCAGAAAGUGUGAUCUCUGAGUGGGCACCUGUAUGAUUGAUCCCUAUGGUUUUCUCCAUAUGGCAUGGUUUGAGCCCUUAAAACUCAUUUAAUCAGAAUUUGUGUGAACUGGCUGUUCCUGGCCUGCUGGUUCAGUGGGCUGGCUGUGACUCCUGUGGCACCUGGGGCUGCCAUCUAUCUUGCUGCGUCAAGUUGCCCAGAGACUCUGGAGCAGAGCUGCAGUGCUCUUUUCUGAUCUGCUUUGCUCAAGUUGUCCCUUAGUGAUACUGUGGCCACUUUAGGUCUGGUCAGAGUCUGGUUUCUCUGUGAAUUGAGCCCAGAAACACGUGGAGAGUCUAAGGGAAAAAGACAUAGAGUUUCAAAAUGAUAAUACAGGCUGCAUUAGCAGCAGAAUGUCCUAAAGGUAGCUCAAACUCUGCAAGUCACAAGUACAACCUGUCAACUCCCCUACCACUUAUACCUGCUGUUCCUUUGACUCUUCUGUCUAAGAAGACUUACUUAGGAAUGGUGUCCAUUCCUCAUGCCUCAUGUCAUCACUUACCUAAUCUUUUAAGAAGGCCCUCUGAGGCAUCACUUGCAAUCAUCUUUGCAUUGCUACUGCCUGAGAGUAAUCCUCAUCUUUUUCCCAGAGUGUUGUAAGUGCCACUUCAUUAAUCUCCCUCAUUUAUUUUUUCAUGCUUCUCAUUGUACACAUAGCUGCAAGAGUGGUAAGACAUAGAUAAGAUCAUGACACUCCUUUACGUAAAGUUAACCCUGCUUGGUAUGUCAUACAAGGUCUUCAUCUCUUCUGCUUUACACCCUCUGCCCUUGACACACUGGAUGUGCACUUCUUUAUCUUUCCAUCUUUGUCCCUGUAGUUCUUCCUUCAGGCCCAUUUAAAUGUGUAGCUUUCCUUGAUCUCCCCCAGCCCAGUGAUCUUUCCCCUGUCUGUAUUCCCAAAGUAUGAGAAGCUCUUACCCAAGCCUCAGGAUUACUGCACCAAAUGCACUGUUUCACUGAUGCAAAGCAAAAGAUGCGACAGGCCUGGAAGUCCUGGUUGAUCUACGUGGUUGUUCGUAGGACCAAACUUCAGAUGCAGACUACGGCUCUGGAGUUUAGGCAACGGAUUAUCUUACGGGUGUGGUGGAGCACGUGGAGGCAGCGACUAGGACAGGUCCGUGUGAGCCGUGCCCUCCAUGCCUCUGCUUUGAAGCACAGGGCCCUGAGCCUCCAGGUGCAGGCUUGGUCACAGUGGCGGGAACAGCUCCUGUAUGUCCAGAAGGAGAAACAGAAGGUUGUCUCUGCAGUGAAACAUCAUCAGCACUGGCAAAAACGGAGAUUUCUAAAGGCCUGGCUUGAAUACCUGCAAGUCCGCAGAGUGAAGAGACAGCAGGAUGAGAUGGCUGAGCGAUUCCAUCAUGUCACUGUGCUCCAGAUACACUUCUGUGACUGGCAGCAGGCCUGGGAGCGGAGGGAGAGCUUGUACGCUCACCAUGCCCAGGUGGAGAAACUGGCCAGGAAGAUGGCCCUGCGGCGCGCCUUUACUCACUGGAAACACUACAUGCUGCUGUGUGCAGAAGAAGCUGCCCAGUUUGAGAUGGCAGAAGAGCACCACAGGCACAGCCAGCUGUAUUUUUGCUUUAGAGCCCUAAAAGACAAUGUGACCCACGCCCAUCUCCAGCAAAUAAGAAGGAAUCUCGCUCACCAGCAGCAUGGUGUCACGCUGCUGCACAGGUUCUGGAACCUCUGGCGGUCUCAGAUUGAGCAGAAAAAGGAAAGAGAGCUGCUCCCCUUACUGCGUGCUGCCUGGGACCACUACAGGAUAGCACUGCUGUGCAAAUGUAUCAAAUUGUGGGUACAGUAUACUCAGAAGAGGCGGUACAAGCAGCUGCUACAGGCCAGAGCGGAUGGUCAUUUCCAGCAGAGAGCCCUGCCUGCUGCCUUCCACACAUGGAACAGACUCUGGCGAUGGUGCCACCAGGAAAAUGUCCUCAGUGCAAGAGCAACACGUUUCCACAGGGAGACAUUAGAGAAGCAAGUAUUUUCUCUCUGGAGGCAGAAGAUGUUUCAGCAUCGAGAAAACCACCUGGCAGAGAGAAUGGCCAUCCUUCACGCAGAGCGACAGCUUCUGUAUAGGUCUUGGUUCAUGUGGCACCAGCAGGCAGCAGCACGUCACCAGGAGCAGGAGUGGCAAACAGUGGCCUGUGCCCACCACCGCCACGGGCGGCUCAAGAAAGCUUUCUGCCUCUGGAGGGAAAGUGCCCAAGGGCUCAGAACAGAGAGGACGGGCAGGGUGCGGGCAGCAGAAUUCCACAUGGCCCAGCUCCUGCGUUGGGCCUGGAGCCAGUGGAGGGAGUGCCUGGCCCUGCGGGGAGCGGAGCGGCAGAAGCUGAUGCGAGCAGACCUGCACCACCAGCACAGCGUGCUGCACAGGGCGCUGCAGGCAUGGGUGACUUACCAGGGCAGGGUGCGAAGCAUCCUCCGGGAGGUGGCAGCCAGGGAGAGCCAGCACAACAGGCAGCUGCUGCGCGGGGCAUUACGUCGCUGGAAAGAGAACACCAUGGCCCGAGUGGAUGAAGCCAAAAAAACCUUUCAAGCAAGUACUCAUUACAGAAGGACCAUAUGUUCCAAGGUCCUGGUCCAGUGGUGGGAAGCUGUGUCAGUGCAGAUAUAUUACCGACAGCAGGAGGACUGUGCCAUCUGGGAGGCCCAGAAGGUGCUGGACAGGGGCUGUCUGCGGACCUGGUUUCAGCGCUGGUGGGACUGCAGCCGGAGGUCAGCCCAGCAGAGACUGCAGCUGGAGAGGGCAGUCCAACACCACCGCCGGCAGCUGCUGCUGGAGGGGCUGGCCCGGUGGAAGAUGCACCAUCUGCAGUGUGUCAGGAAGAGGCUCCUGCACAGGCAGAGCACCCAACUGCUGGCACAGAGACUCAGCCGGACCUGCUUCCGCCAGUGGAGACAACAGCUGGCAGCCAGGAGGCAGGAGCAGCGGGCGACGGUGCGGGCCCUGUGGUUCUGGGCCUUCUCGCUGCAGGCAAAGGUGUGGGCCACGUGGCUGGCCUUUGUACUGGAAAGGAGGAGAAAGAAGGCGCGGCUGCAGCGGGCGCUCCAGGCCUACCAGGGGCAGCUCCUCCAGGAGGGUGCCACGCGGCUCCUGCGCUUUGCAGCCAGCAUGAAGGCCUCCCGGCAGCAGCUGCAGGCCCAGCAGCAGGUCCAGGCGGCUCACAGUCUACAUCGUGCCGUCCACCGCUGUGCCACGCUCUGGAAACAGAAAGUGCUGGGCCGGGGCGGGAAGCCUCAGCCCCUGGCAGCCAUCGCACCCAGCAGGAAAGUGACGUUUGAGGGUCCCCUUCUCAACCGCAUUGCUGCUGGGGCUGGGGAUGCCACCCUUGAGACCAAGAGGCCACAGGCUUCUCGGCCUCCGGGAGCUCUGGGCCGCCUGGCUGCUGAGGAGCCCCACGCCCUGGAGCUCAACACUGCCCACUCAGCGAGGAAGCAGCCGCGACGCCCACACUUCCUGUUGGAGCCUGCGCAGAGCCAGAGGCCUCAGAAGCCACAGGAACAUGGCCUAGGCAUGGCUCAGCCAGCAGCCCCCUCCCUGACGCGGCCCUUCCUGGCAGAGGCCCCGACAGCACUGGUCCCACACAGCCCCCUGCCUGGGGCUCUGUCAAGCGCCCCUGGCCCGAAGCAGCCCCCGACGGCAAGCACAGGCCUGGAGCUGCUGCUGCUGCCUCCUUCCUCCUUCAUGCCCUGCGGGGCGGCUGCACCAGCCAGGAUGUCAGCACAGCGGGCUACUCCUAGGGAUAAGCCCCCGGUCCCCUCAUCCCUGGCCAGUGUCCCUGACCCCCAUCUACUCCUUCCUGGGGACUUCUCAGCCACCAGGGCUGGGCCUGGACUUUCAACUGCAGGCAGCCUGGACCUUGAGGCUGAACUUGAGGAGAUCCAGCAGCAACUACUGCACUACCAGACCACCAAGCAGAACCUCUGGUGAGCCCUGCGAAACGCCCUGCGGCCCAGGCUACAGGAGCAGGUGUUGCCUGGAAAGGUCCUGUCGGCGGCAAGCGAGCAGCCUGCGCAGGUGGCUGGAGCUGAACAGAGAGGAGCCGGGGCCUGAGGACCAGGAAGUAGAGCAGCAGGUGCAGAAAGAGCUGGAACAGGUGGAAAUGCAGAUCCAGCUGCUGGCAGAGGAGCUCCAGGCUCAGCGCCAGCCCAUUGGCGCCUGCGUUGCCCGCAUCCAGGCCCUGCGGCAGGCCCUGUGCUAGCGUGUUCGCACCAGGAACGCAGGUGCUGGGCUGUCGGGGAGGCCUCAGGCCACCUCCAGGAACAGAACACAGUUUUAAGUUUGAUUUUUUUAUUUCAAAAUGCUUUGCAAUUAAAUGAAUUACUGUUCA